This 1552-nucleotide ribosomal RNA is filed under the name metagenome. RNAcentral describes it as "bacterial LSU rRNA". It matches the Rfam family "Bacterial large subunit ribosomal RNA", at positions 1292 to 2925 of the family's 2925-position model. The record is from RNAcentral.
GAAUGCCGGAAUGAGUAGCGAGAAUUAUGUGAGAAUCAUAAUGGCCGGAAGACUAAGGUUUUAGAAGGAAGGUUCGUCCGCUUCUAGUUAGCCGGGAGCUAAGGCGAGGCCGAGAGGCGUAGUCGAUGCACAUACGGUUGAGAUUCCGUAGCUACCUUGCAUUUAAGCGAAGGGACACAUUGAAGGGCAUGACCCGGGCGUUGGUUGACCCGGGCGUAAGGGACCGAAAAUAAGUAGGGAAGCAUGCUUGGAUGGUGGCGAGAAAAGCUUCGUGUAUAUAAGCAGGGUACCCGUACUGCAAACCGACACAGGUAGUCAGGAAGAGGAUUCUAAGGCCAUCGGGAGAAGCGUUGUUAAGGAACUCGGCAAAUUGACCCCGUAACUUCGGAAUAAGGGGUGCUCACGCGAGUGAGCCGCAGUGAAUAGGUCCAGGCAACUGUUUAUCAAAAACACAGCUCUCUGCUAAAUCGUAAGAUGACGUAUAGGGGGUGACACCUGCCCGGUGCUGGAAGGUUAAGAGGAGGGGUGCAAGCUCCGAAUUGAAGCCCCAGUAAACGGCGGCCGUAACAAUAACGGUCCUAAGGUAGCGAAAUUCCUUGUCGGGUAAGUUCCGACCCGCACGAAUGGUGUAAUGAUCUGGACACUGUCUCAACAACGCACCCGGCGAAAUUGUAGUACCGGUGAAGAUGCCGGUUACCCGCGGCAAGACGGAAAGACCCCAUGGAGCUUCACUGUAGCCUGAUAUUGGGUCUCGGUAUUUUAUGUACAGGAUAGGCGGGAGACUUGGAAACCAGCACGCCAGUGUUGGCGGAGUCACCCUUGGGAUACCGCUCUUAAAGUAUUGAGAUUCUAACCUGCAGCCAUGAAUCUGACUGGGGGACAUUGUCAGGUGGGCAGUUUGACUGGGGCGGUCGCCUCCAAAAGAGUAACGGAGGCGUUCAAAGGUUCACUCAGCAUGGACGGAAACCAUGCCUUAGAGUGCAAACGCAUAAGUGAGCCUAACUGCGAGACUGACGGGUCGAGCAGUAACGAAAGUUGGAGUUAGUGAUCCGGCGGUAUGUGAGUGGAAAUGCCGUCGCUCAACGGAUAAAAGCUACCCUGGGGAUAACAGGCUGAUCUCCCCCAAGAGUCCACAUCGACGGGGAGGUUUGGCACCUCGAUGUCGGCUCAUCACAUCCUGGGGCUGAAUUCGGUCCCAAGGGUUCGGCUGUUCGCCGAUAAAGUGGUACGCGAGCUGGGUUCAGAACGUCGUGAGACAGUUCGGUCCCUAUCUGUCGUGGGCGUAGGAUAUUUGAAGGGCGCUGUUCCUAGUACGAGAGGACCGGAAUGGACGCACCGCUGGUGUAUCGGUUGUCAUGCCAAUGGCACGGCCGAACAGCUAUGUGCGGAUGGGAUAAACGCUGAAAGCAUCUAAGCGUGAAGCCCUCCCUAAGAUAAGAUAUCCCACUGUUUGCAGUUAAGACCCCUUAUGGACUAUGAGGUUGAUAGGCUGCGUGUGUAAGUAUGGUGACAUAUUUAGCUAGGCAGUACUAAUAGGUCGAGGGCUUGACCG